This 362-nucleotide ribosomal RNA is filed under the name uncultured bacterium. RNAcentral's name for it is "partial 16S ribosomal RNA". It matches the Rfam family "Bacterial small subunit ribosomal RNA", at positions 338 to 698 of the family's 1533-position model. The record is from RNAcentral.
CCUACGGGUGGCAGCAGUGAGGAAUAUUGGUCAAUGGCCGGAAGGCUGAACCAGCCAAGCCGCGUGAAGGACGAAGGUGCCAAGCAUUGUAAACUUCUUUUGUCAAGGGACAAAAUCAGGCUCGAGAGCCUGACCGAGUGUACUUGAAGACAAAACAUCGGCUAACUCCGUGCCAGCAGCCGCGGUAAUACGGAGGAUGCGAGCGUUAUCCGGAUUUAUUGGGUUUAUAGGGUGCGUAGCCGGGCUGUUAAGUCAGCGGGAAAACCCCGGGGCGCAACCCCGGCGAGCAGUUGAAACUGGCUGUCUGUAGAUGUCGAGGGGGAUGCGGAAUGCGCAGUGGAGCGGGGAAAUGCUUAGAUAUG